GAUGAACGCUGGCGGCGUGCCUAAUACAUGCAAGUCGAACGCAUAGCGAAAGGUGCUUGCACCUUUCAAGUGAGUGGCGAACGGGUGAGUAACACGUGGACAACCUGCCUCAAGGCUGGGGAUACCAUUUGGAAACAGAUGCUAAUACCGAAUAAAACUUAGUGUCGCAUGACACAAAGUUAAAAGGCGCUUCGGCGUCACCUAGAGAUGGAUCCGCGGUGCAUUAGUUAGUUGGUGGGGUAAAGGCCUACCAAGACAAUGAUGCAUAGCCGAGUUGAGAGACUGAUCGGCCACAUUGGGACUGAGACACGGCCCAAACUCCUACGGGAGGCUGCAGUAGGGAAUCUUCCACAAUGGGCGAAAGCCUGAUGGAGCAACGCCGCGUGUGUGAUGAAGGCUUUCGGGUCGUAAAGCACUGUUGUAAGGGAAGAACAGCUAGGAUAGGAAAUGAUUAUAGUUUGACGGUACCAUACCAGAAAGGGACGGCUAAAUACGUG
Molecule: ribosomal RNA, 497 nt
Filed under: uncultured bacterium
Lineage: Bacteria
Description: partial 16S ribosomal RNA
Rfam family: Bacterial small subunit ribosomal RNA
Source: RNAcentral